RNAcentral lists this ribosomal RNA (254 nucleotides) under uncultured bacterium. RNAcentral's name for it is "partial 16S ribosomal RNA". It matches the Rfam family "Bacterial small subunit ribosomal RNA", at positions 524 to 776 of the family's 1533-position model. The record is from RNAcentral.
UACGAAGGGGGCUAGCGUUGUUCGGAAUUACUGGGCGUAAAGCGCGCGUAGGCGGUUUUGCAAGCCAGAGGUGAAAUGCCUGAGCUCAACUCGGGAAUGGCCUUUGGGACUGCGAGGCUUUGAGGACUGGAGAGGUGAGUGGAAUUCCCAGUGUAGAGGUGAAAUUCGUAGAUAUUCGGAAGAACACCAGUGGCGAAGGCGACUCACUGGCCCGAUACUGACGCUGAGGCGCGAAAGCGUGGGGAGCAAACAGG